UGCUGGUGGCGGCCAGGGGCAGUGCCCGCGCGGGCUGCUGCCCUCCUGAGGAGCCGCUGGCGGGCGGAGCGCGCCUCGCGGGGCAGACGGUGUUGGGGAGGAGGGCUGUGAGGGGCGGCCAAAGGCAGCUAAUGACAUCGUGUACGGGCGUUUAAACUUCUUGUACAAAAAUGUUCCAGAAAGAGAGAGAACAAAGUUUCCAUCAUUAGAUGUCACAUUUCUGUUUGGAUUAAUAAUAUUGCAACUGUGUUCCCAUUCUUAUUGUGAUCAAUUGCCAUCAAUUUGAAUAUACA
Non-coding RNA from Phasianus colchicus (ring-necked pheasant), 293 nucleotides. Lineage: Eukaryota; Metazoa; Chordata; Aves; Galliformes; Phasianidae. The record is from RefSeq and is a predicted model, not a curated record.